Molecule: non-coding RNA, 354 nt
Organism: Peptococcaceae bacterium BRH_c4a
Lineage: Bacteria; Bacillati; Bacillota; Clostridia; Eubacteriales; Peptococcaceae
Source: Rfam
UAUAUGGAGAGUUUGAUCCUGGCUCAGGACGAACGCUGGCGGCGUGCUUAACACAUGCAAGUCGAACGGUUUGGUCGGAGGUCGUCAGACGUCGGACGUUGGUAAGGAAGCAGGAAUUCCAGGUCAUUGACCUGGAAGGAAGGCCGAAAAAACUGACGACUGCUGCCUGACGACCGACGACCGAAUAGUGGCGGACGGGUGAGUAACGCGUGGAUAACCUGCCCAAGAGAUCGGGAUAACGCCGGGAAACUGGUGCUAAUACCGGAUACGUUCCUGAGGUUGCAUAAUUUCGGGAAGAAAGGAGAAAUCCGCUCAUGGAUGGAUCCGCGUCCCAUUAGCUAGUUGGUGGGGUAA